CCUACGGGUGGCAGCAGUGAGGAAUAUUGGUCAAUGGGCGUAAGCCUGAACCAGCCAAGUCGCGUGAGGGAUGAAGGCUCUAUGGAUCGUAAACCUCUUUUAUAAGGGAAUAAAGUGCGGGACGUGUCCCGCUUUGUAUGUACCUUAUGAAUAAGGAUCGGCUAACUCCGUGCCAGCAGCCGCGGUAAUACGGAGGAUCCGAGCGUUAUCCGGAUUUAUUGGGUUUAAAGGGUGCGUAGGCGGCUUUUUAAGUCAGGGGUGAAAGUGUGGGGCUCAACCAUAGAAUUGCCGUUGAAACUGGGAGGCUUGAGUAUGUUAGAGGCAGGCGGAAGGCGUGGUGUAGCGGUGAAAUGCUUAGAGAUCACGCAGAACCCCGAUUGCGAAGGCAGCCUGCCGGGCCAUGACUGACGCUGAUGCACGAAAGCGUGGGGAUCAAACAGGAUUAGAUACCCUUGUAGUC
Molecule: ribosomal RNA, 460 nt
Filed under: uncultured bacterium
Lineage: Bacteria
Description: partial 16S ribosomal RNA
Rfam family: Bacterial small subunit ribosomal RNA
Source: RNAcentral